AAAUUCGGCCUAAAGUCCAAAGUGAAUAAUUUUUUGUUAGAAAUAUUCUCUAACAUGUUCUUUUCCUAUAAUGUACUGGUUUUUAUAUGUAGAGUUGGUGAAAGAACACUAUUUUUAGGUUUACAUUACUAGUAUAAAUCCUAUAAUUUGCGCUACUUUUUAAGAUUGCGUCAUACAACGUCGCUAUAUAUUAUAAGAAAUGGUAACGUAUUGUAAAACAUAAUUAUGCAAUGAGUGGUUUAAUAUGUAAUAAGAUCUUGAAAAAGAAAUUUUCUUUCCCAAUACGCAAUAAGGUUAUUUUACUUAUAGCCCGAAUGGCACACCACAUUUUUCAAUCCAUUCGGCCAUUUUCACACGCCGCGCCGUUAGCCUGUUUGCGCUGUUCGUGGAAGUUGCAGCGGAUGUACUCAUCGCAUUUCAACGAUGAUAUAAUAUGUACAGCAAAAAUUGAUGGCAAGGAUGACAUGAAUCAGAUUGACAAGAAUCCAUAUUCCUACUCCUCAAUAAUGAUAUCAUGACUGCCAUCAGAUUCAUCAAUGAUAGUGGCAUCAGUGACACAUGCGGAUAAGUGUUGGACAUCACUGCAGGAAUAGCUUCCUUGUUGUGCCUGCCAAUAGCAAGGUACCAGAUUAUACAGCAGUUAUGUGGAAACAGAUUCCCACAAUAGGGGCACCAGAUUGACACUUACAUUGUACAGUAUCAGGCAGUUAUAUCAGAACUGGAAAAACUGGAUCCAAACAAGACUAUAUUGCUUGGAAGAAACCUGUCGACUCUGAAGUUUAAACCUUAUUAACCCAUGGCACUUCCAGAGACAUCCUGAUACCAUGGUUCUGUGUCAUUUGAAAUAUACCUGUGGAGGUUUUUAAAGUGUUUUUUUUUUAGGGGGGGGGGGGUUAUUGAUUGGAAGAAUUCAUAUUUGAUGAUUCAAAUGAAAAUCUGCAUGUUGAAUUAUGAAUGUCAUAAUGUACUUUUUGAAUGAGUUCAAGAAUGGUUGUCCUGAUGAAAAGUGUAGAGUCAAAAGUUAACAAAUUGUCAAAAACACUGGUCAGGUCUGAAUUCAUCAUCUUGUACACCUUGCAGUUGGAAUUAUGAUUUCUAUGAAGAAAUGCUGAAAAUCUUGCAAAAGAGGAAAUGACAAGUUGGGGUCCAAGGCACUUGCAUAUAUGCAUGAGAAGGUGUUCUAUCCAGGCUUGAGGUCAAUUACAUAGCAAUGUAACGCAUUACAUUACCUAGAAAAUUUCACAUUACCAUUACUCCUAUUUUGAAAUAUAAUGUAUUACAUUACUUGAGAGUGAAUUUACAUUACACAUUUACAUAAAAUACUGUCAGAUAUUAAAGAAAUGACAGAAAAAUUAUUUCUGUAUUAUGAUUUUUAAUUAUACAUUAUCAUAAGUACACAGAAUAUUCAGCAAUGUUAGGAAACAUGUCUAUUAAGUUAUUCAUUGCAUUUGAUUGUCAUCAAUGUUUCAAAUGCUUCAAUCACUAAUAUAAUGAAUUAUUCUAAAUCUUCAAAAUAUCAUCAAAUAUUUGAAGUAGUGUAAAUGUAAUGGAAAAUAAUGUGCAGUACAGUAUGCAUUACAUUACCAUUACUUGUAAUGCAAAAAUGGUCCAUUACACCCCCAUUACAUUGAAACUGGCUGUCAUUUAAUUACCAUUACCCCAGGCCUGGUUCUGUCGAGAGGUAUUGAAAUUGUCUAUAGAGACUUUGUCUUAGGAAGUGGCCGAGAUUGAUUAUGACAAUUUUGUUGGAUGUGAAUUUACUGACACACAUAUCUACACUUGCUACACAAUAUAUCAUGUGGUGGUUUCAACAAGAAAGUUCUUACUCUGCAGGAAAUGACGAAUUGCUAAUGAUUCACAUUUUUUCUGACUUUUCUUCUGUACCUUAGAUGCAUUGGAAAAACUUUCCUUUCCAUUAUCUUUUGCUGGUUCAUACUUUGAAAUAAAAUCAAGUCCGAAAAUAAAGUAUUUUUUUUUUUCAAUGAAUUUUAAAAAAUGUAAUCUGUAAUCCUUGCAUAUUUUCUUGGUGUUCUGUGAUUGCAUAGGCCUAUUGAUUUUUAUUUAUAUUCAGGUAUAAUUUCAUCUUCAGUGUCUUGAAAGAAAUUAAUUUUUCAAUAACGCCAAGAAAAAUGUAGUUCACAUUAUGAUUAAAAAAAAAAAUAUUGACACGGGUAGGAAUUGAACCCGGAUCUCCCGAUUGAAGGACGGGCUCUCUACCACUACGUUAAGACGUCUAUGACGUCUUUUGCUAAAAAAUCCUUCAUAAAUUUACUUGCCCUAGUUAACGUUAUACUUUCGAUAUAUCGGCAAUAGUUUUAGUUAUAUCAAUGCAUGUUCUAUGAAUUCUUUUCAUUUUUGAUCUUAGUAAUUCUGUUGGUGUCGUCUAAAUAAAAACUUUCUAUAGCAUUGAAGGUCCGAUUUCUCGGACAGCAGAUUCGUUUGUUUACGCAUUAAAAUUCUAUAGCUUUUAGAAUUCCUGCACAAACUUGUGAUAAAAACACCACAUAGGGGUGUAUUCUGCAUAUAAAUGAUGUAGACUCCACAUAAGUAUAUUGUUUCAAUUUUUCAAAGCAACAUAAUUAAUAAAAUACCCACAAAAAACUCUCACAAAAAUAAAUAAUCCCGGAUUGCUCUCAAUUUAAUUCAAAGUUGAUAUUCAUCAACAGCACACCUUUCGAUCCAAAAAAUCGUUCGGGCAAAAUUUAUUUGUAUUGAUAGAUUUUGAUAGACUACAGUCAGUUUCUGGAUCGAAGGUCAUGUUUUAUAUAAAUUAUAUGACUAAAAUUGAAAAAAGUGGAGAUUUCUGCAGAAAACCAGACCGAUACCAGUUUUGUCUUGUAUAGAAUUCCACAAGCUGACGUUUUGGCGGGGAAAUCUUGGCACGUCGCGAUGGUAUAAAGACUAUAUUAUCAAAUGAUAACAAUUUUAUUUCAAUUCAUUCUGCUUUAUUUUUUAACACACCACAGGGCCGAUAUAGCUAAACAUGGUCUUAGUCCUUUUAGAAAUUAACAUAAUAUUUUAGAACUUGACAUUUGAUAUAAUGAAUUGUUUUCGUACAAGUGCAAGAAGGUCUUUAUUUAUUUCCAUUACUUGUAUUGAACUUUUUUAUCUGCAUUGUUAGAAGACAUGAUUAUGUAUCUAUUUUAGGUUAUGACUAAUUUGUGUUGCUUAGGUUAUGUAGAUACCAACAUACAACUCAAGUUUAAUUGAAUAAAUCGUAAGUGGAAAAAGAUCAUGUUUAGAACACUGUAGCUCAAUAACAAGCAUUGCGACCCCAGUUUUUCUUUUUAAUUUCUUAAUUAUCUUUCAAUAUAGAAAACAAAAAUACACUUCCCCAAAAAUUGAAAUUUUUCCAACUUUCAGGUGUGAACCUCUUUAAGGCCGUGACUUUAAUUCAAACCUAUUUAAGAUGUAGAAAACCUAAUUAAAGGUGUUCUUAAAAUUUAUAAAUUGAUUUUGCAGACGGGGAAAAUAAAUGAACUUACUGUGUCAGACACAACUUGUCCUUGUUAUGUUUGUGUCUCUCUUCCCUGUAUCUCUUUCCCCAUUAGAAUGUAUCACAUGUACUUGAUCUCAUGUACCACGUACUGGUGGAUUAAGUGAAUAAAGAACUUGAAACUCUUAGGGUUUCGUGUGUACUAUUUACGUCCCAGUGAGCUCGGGUAUGUAAAUAAGGUUAUAAUUAGUUUGAGUUCAAUAGAGGUAUAUUCAGGUACCUGGUCGUAUUUUAGAUGAAAGUAUAAUCAUGGAAUUCUUUAAAAUAUUAAUCAAUUCAUGGGUUUAAAAAAUAGCGGAUGACAACGGACGCGGAACAAAAAAGCAAUAGGUCACAUGAGCGAAUGUACAUGAAUGCUUCUUACGAACAAACUUCUGGUAAAAAAGCACCUGUAUUAUAUUCAUAAAGUGUCGAGAUAACAGUAAACUGUCUCGAUUGUUAUACAAUCUACGUUACAGAUCUAUGUAUGCUUUAUAAUUGAAAAUAUUCUUCUAAUCAUUUGAUAUUUUGCUUGAAGGUCAAUUAAUAUCUAGUAACUUGUUAUUUUAAUGAUUUUAGUAUAGAAUUGCAUAAUUUGUUCCAGUCACGCAUAUCGUAUUAUACGCAAGAAUGCGAAGAAUCUGUAAUCUAUUUCGGUAGUUAAUUAAAAUAUUGCCUCGACAAGCUCAGGAUAUGGAAUCACAAUAUCAGGUAAACUUAACAGAAAAAUCUUACACAACUCCACAUUGAAUCAAAUGUAGACAUAGACUAUGGUAUUUUAACAAUUCUCUCAACACCAAUGUUGUAACGUUUCAUAUACUCCACUUUUUUCAAUAUAGUAAAGUUUCCAACUAUAGUAUGAUAAAAUAACGGCAAACUAGCCCUCUUUAGACAAGAAAAAAUCUUAUCAUCUAACUUGAUAUCAUUUAUUAAUGUUACUUGCUUAUUUUUUUUUCAAUUGACCAAUUAAUUACAAUAUUUACAAUAAUUAAGUAUUAAUACAUAAACAGGUAACGGGAGGUGACUCCUCUAACCAUUUCACUUGUAAACCCAGGUCUCUAUGUUGAGUUUAUUUCUUUAUUUGUUUGCUCUCUACCAUACUUAAAAUAUAACCAAACAUAUGUUUGGCAUAAUCAAAAAGUAUGAAAGAGAGCACUGCUUAUUAAAUAUAUAGAGACUUGAGCAAAUCUACCAUUUUAUUUAAAAAAAUUAGAUGUUAAAUUCGUUCGCAUGUACUCGUUGCACUCAGAUUGUGCACUAACCCACUUAUAACAUUAUAUAUAAUAUCUAUAUAUAAGAUAUAAUCUUAUAUCACCAUUCGCAUGUAUAUAUACAAUGUUAUGAUACAUAUAUAUUGAUUCAAAGUGACAUAUAGGUCCGUUUGGGCCGGGUGUUCAAUAAUUUAUGUACUUUGUAAAAUCAGUGUUGUGAAAUAUUGUAUUUAAAACACAUGUCACUAUAAUAAAUAAAUUACUUACUUACUUACUUAUAACACAAAAAUAAAUAUUUUUGUGCAUAAAACAAUGAUAAAAAGAAAACUGAAAUCAUUUACCACAAAUAACUUCUUUUCUUGAAUUCAUGAAUGU
Molecule: long non-coding RNA, 5061 nt
Organism: Ostrea edulis (European flat oyster)
Lineage: Eukaryota; Metazoa; Mollusca; Bivalvia; Ostreida; Ostreidae
Exons: 2
Source: RefSeq, a predicted model, not a curated record